RNAcentral lists this ribosomal RNA (98 nucleotides) under Megalops atlanticus (tarpon). Its description in RNAcentral is "partial 12S ribosomal RNA". The record is from RNAcentral. Lineage: Eukaryota; Metazoa; Chordata; Actinopteri; Elopiformes; Megalopidae.
UCUACAACCGAUAACCCCCGUUAAACCUCACCACUCCUAGCCAACCCCGCCUAUAUACCGCCGUCGCCAGCUACCCUAUGAAGCCCAACAGUAGCCAU